UGGGGAAUAUUGCACAAUGGGCGCAAGCUUGAUGCAGCCAUGCCGCGUGUAUGAAGAAGGCCUUCGGGUUGUAAAGUACUUUCAGUCGGGAGGAAGGUGGUAAGGUUAAUAACCUUAUCAAUUUACGUCACCGACAGAAGAAGCACCGGCUAACUCCGUGCCAGCAGCCGCGGUAAUACGGAGGUUGCAAGCGUUAAUCGGAAUUACUGGGCGUAAAGCGCACGCAGGCGGUUGAUUGAGUCAGAUGUGAAAUCACCGGGCUUAACCCGGGAAUUGCAUCUGAUACUGGUCAGCUAGAGUCUUGUAGAGGGGGGUAGAAUUCCAUGUGUAGCGGUGAAAUGCGUAGAGAUGUGGAGGAAAACCGGUGGAGAAGGCGGCCCCCUGGACAAAGAAUGACGCUCAGGUGCGAAAGCGUGGGGAGCAAACAGG
RNAcentral lists this ribosomal RNA (429 nucleotides) under Chloroflexota bacterium. RNAcentral describes it as "Chloroflexi bacterium partial 16S ribosomal RNA". It matches the Rfam family "Bacterial small subunit ribosomal RNA", at positions 355 to 776 of the family's 1533-position model. Lineage: Bacteria; Bacillati; Chloroflexota. The record is from RNAcentral.